UUUAUUUCAGUCAAUCUUCUGUAGAGACUUAGCAUUCACCUUUGGAGGAAGGUCCUUUGAGCAGGGACAGAGAUGGUGAUGUCACUGACAGUCCCCCUUUUACUCUGGGUGAGAGGUCUAGAAUCCUCAGCUCCUGUAUUCGUGCCCACAAGGGCCUCAUCUAGGUGAAGGCUCCACCUGUCCCACCCUGCCAUGGCCACCAGGCUCCUCUGCUGUGUGGUUCUUUGUCUCCUGGGAGAAGAGCUUAUAGAUGCUGGAGUCACCCAGACACCAAGGCACAAGGUGACAGAGAUGGGACAAGAAGUAACUAUGAGAUGUCAGCCAAUUUUAGGCCACAAUACUGUUUUCUGGUACAGACAGACCAUGAUGCAAGGACUGGAGUUGCUGGCUUACUUCCGCAACCGGGCUCCUCUAGAUGAUUCAGGGAUGCCGAAGGAUCGAUUCUCAGCAGAGAUGCUUGAUGCAACUUUAGCCACUCUGAAGAUCCAGCCCUCAGAACCCAGGGACUCAGCUGUGUAUUUUUGUGCUAGUGGUUUGGUCACAGCGCUGCAGAAUCACCUGCUCCCUGUGCAGAAACCCUGGUGCUUCCUCUUCUCCUCCAGUACCCAGCAGCUCUCAGCAGCCUUUCUUGCUCCUCCCCUAGCACAGGAAGUACAUAGGUUUCGUGUUCCACAUGUCCCUAGGCAAGGCAAGAACAGGUCAUAAGGACACAUCAUGUUAGGAAACUUUUGGUAGGAAGUCAGUGGGUGUGAUGGUUCCUGGGAUUCCACACAUACUUCUCACAAG
This is a non-coding RNA of Pan troglodytes (chimpanzee), 786 nucleotides long. Lineage: Eukaryota; Metazoa; Chordata; Mammalia; Primates; Hominidae. The record is from the annotation of a RefSeq genome assembly.